CUAGCCCUGAUGGCAGCGGCAUCCUUUUUUGAGUGAGGCGGCGGAGCGGAGCGGAGCCGACCGAGCGAAAAAAAGAUACAGCGGACAGCAGG
RNAcentral lists this small RNA (92 nucleotides) under Epilithonimonas bovis. RNAcentral's name for it is "Flavo-1 RNA". It matches the Rfam family "Flavo-1 RNA", at positions 3 to 69 of the family's 76-position model. The record is from RNAcentral. Lineage: Bacteria; Pseudomonadati; Bacteroidota; Flavobacteriia; Flavobacteriales; Weeksellaceae.